CCUCCAGACUCCUACGGGAGGCAGCAGUGAGGAAUAUUGGUCAAUGGGCGGGAGCCUGAACCAGCCAAGCCGCGUGAGGGAAGAAGGUACAGCGUAUCGUAAACCUCUUUUGUCAGGGAACAAAGGCGGGGACUAGUCCCCGGAUGAGGGUACCUGAAGAAAAAGCAUCGGCUAACUCCGUGCCAGCAGCCGCGGUAAUACGGAGGAUGCGAGCGUUAUCCGGAUUUAUUGGGUGUAAAGGGUGCGUAGACGGGAAAUUAAGUUAGUUGUGAAAUCCCUCGGCUCAACUGAGGAACUGCAACUAAAACUGAUUUUCUUGAGUGCAGGAGAGGUAAGUGGAAUUCCUAGUGUAGCGGUGAAAUGCGUAGAUAUUAGGAGGAACACCAGUGGCGAAGGCGACUUACUGGACUGUAACUGACGUUGAGGCAC
RNAcentral lists this ribosomal RNA (429 nucleotides) under uncultured bacterium. Its description in RNAcentral is "bacterial SSU rRNA". It matches the Rfam family "Bacterial small subunit ribosomal RNA", at positions 328 to 754 of the family's 1533-position model. The record is from RNAcentral.